Molecule: ribosomal RNA, 579 nt
Filed under: Escherichia coli
Lineage: Bacteria; Pseudomonadati; Pseudomonadota; Gammaproteobacteria; Enterobacterales; Enterobacteriaceae
Description: partial 23S ribosomal RNA
Rfam family: Bacterial large subunit ribosomal RNA
Source: RNAcentral
CACGGCGGGUGCUAACGUCCGUCGUGAAGAGGGAAACAACCCAGACCGCCAGCUAAGGUCCCAAAGUCAUGGUUAAGUGGGAAACGAUGUGGGAAGGCCCAGACAGCCAGGAUGUUGGCUUAGAAGCAGCCAUCAUUUAAAGAAAGCGUAAUAGCUCACUGGUCGAGUCGGCCUGCGCGGAAGAUGUAACGGGGCUAAACCAUGCACCGAAGCUGCGGCAGCGACACUAUGUGUUGUUGGGUAGGGGAGCGUUCUGUAAGCCUGUGAAGGUGGCCUGUGAGGGUUGCUGGAGGUAUCAGAAGUGCGAAUGCUGACAUAAGUAACGAUAAAGCGGGUGAAAAGCCCGCUCGCCGGAAGACCAAGGGUUCCUGUCCAACGUUAAUCGGGGCAGGGUGAGUCGACCCCUAAGGCGAGGCCGAAAGGCGUAGUCGAUGGGAAACAGGUUAAUAUUCCUGUACUUGGUGUUACUGCGAAGGGGGGACGGAGAAGGCUAUGUUGGCCGGGCGACGGUUGUCCCGGUUUAAGCGUGUAGGCUGGUUUUCCAGGCAAAUCCGGAAAACCAAGGCUGAGGCGUGAUGA